RNAcentral lists this ribosomal RNA (253 nucleotides) under uncultured bacterium. Its description in RNAcentral is "partial 16S ribosomal RNA". It matches the Rfam family "Bacterial small subunit ribosomal RNA", at positions 524 to 776 of the family's 1533-position model. The record is from RNAcentral.
UACGUAGGGCGACAACGUUGUCCGGAAUUAUUGGGCGUAAAGAGCUCGUAGGCGGCUUGUCACGUCGGGUGUGAAAGCCCGGGGCUUAACCCCGGGUCUGCAUUCGAUACGGGCAGGCUAGAGUGUGGUAGGGGAGAUCGGAAUUCCUGGUGUAGCGGUGAAAUGCGCAGAUAUCAGGAAGAACACCCGUGGCGAAGGCGGCUCUCUGGGACGGUACUGACGCUGAGACGCGAAAGCGUGGGGAGCGAACAGG